This 253-nucleotide ribosomal RNA is filed under the name uncultured bacterium. RNAcentral describes it as "partial 16S ribosomal RNA". It matches the Rfam family "Bacterial small subunit ribosomal RNA", at positions 524 to 776 of the family's 1533-position model. The record is from RNAcentral.
UACGUAGGGGGCAAGCGUUGUCCGGAAUCAUUGGGCGUAAAGAGCGUGUAGGCGGCUCGGUAAGUCCGUUCUGAAAGUCCAGGGCUCAACCCUGGGAUGCGGAUGGAUACUGUCGGGCUCGAGUCCGGAAGAGGCGAGUGGAAUUCCCGGUGUAGCGGUGAAAUGCGCAGAUAUCGGGAGGAACACCAAUGGCGAAGGCAGCUCGCUGGGACGUUACUGACGCUGAGACGCGAAAGCGUGGGGAGCAAACAGG